Molecule: transfer RNA, 76 nt
Filed under: Streptomyces marianii
Lineage: Bacteria; Bacillati; Actinomycetota; Actinomycetes; Kitasatosporales; Streptomycetaceae
Description: Streptomyces sp. ICN19 tRNA-Glu
Rfam family: tRNA
About the family: Transfer RNA (tRNA) molecules are approximately 80 nucleotides in length. Their secondary structure includes four short double-helical elements and three loops (D, anti-codon, and T loops). Further hydrogen bonds mediate the characteristic L-shaped molecular structure. tRNAs have two regions of fundamental functional importance: the anti-codon, which is responsible for specific mRNA codon recognition, and the 3' end, to which the tRNAs corresponding amino acid is attached (by aminoacyl-tRNA synthetases). tRNAs cope with the degeneracy of the genetic code in two manners: having more than one tRNA (with a specific anti-codon) for a particular amino acid; and 'wobble' base-pairing, i.e. permitting non-standard base-pairing at the 3rd anti-codon position.
Source: RNAcentral
GCCCUCGUGGAGUAGUCCGGUUCAUCUCGCCCCGUUCUCAGCGGGGAGACCGCGGGUUCGAAUCCCGCCGAGGGUA